GAUGAACGCUGGCGGCGUGCCUAAUACAUGCAAGUCGAGCGAACAGAUAAGGAGCUUGCUCCUUUGACGUUAGCGGCGGACGGGUGAGUAACACGUGGGUAACCUAUCUAUAAGACUGGAAUAACUCCGGGAAACCGGGGCUAAUGCCGGAUAACAUGUUGAACCGCAUGGUUCUACAGUGAAAGGCGGCUUUGCUGUCACUUAUAGAUGGACCCGCGCCGUAUUAGCUAGUUGGUGAGGUAACGGCUCACCAAGGCAACGAUACGUAGCCGACCUGAGAGGGUGAUCGGCCACACUGGAACUGAGACACGGUCCAGACUCCUACGGGAGGCAGCAGUAGGGAAUCUUCCGCAAUAGGCGAAAGCCUGACGGAGCAACGCCGCGUGAGUGAUGAAGGUCUUCGGAUCGUAAAACUCUGUUAUUAGGGAAGAACAAAUGCGUAAGUAACUGUGCGCGUCUUGACGGUACCUAAUCAGAAAGCCACGGCUAACUACGUG
Molecule: ribosomal RNA, 497 nt
Filed under: uncultured bacterium
Lineage: Bacteria
Description: partial 16S ribosomal RNA
Rfam family: Bacterial small subunit ribosomal RNA
Source: RNAcentral